UACGAAGGGGGCUAGCGUUGCUCGGAAUCACUGGGCGUAAAGGGUGCGUAGGCGGGUCUUUAAGUCAGGGGUGAAAUCCUGGAGCUCAACUCCAGAACUGCCUUUGAUACUGAGGAUCUUGAGUUCGGGAGAGGUGAGUGGAACUGCGAGUGUAGAGGUGAAAUUCGUAGAUAUUCGCAAGAACACCAGUGGCGAAGGCGGCUCACUGGCCCGAUACUGACGCUGAGGCACGAAAGCGUGGGGAGCAAACGGGG
Molecule: ribosomal RNA, 254 nt
Filed under: uncultured bacterium
Lineage: Bacteria
Description: partial 16S ribosomal RNA
Rfam family: Bacterial small subunit ribosomal RNA
Source: RNAcentral